UUGGAGGGCAAGUCUGGUGCCAGCAGCCGCGGUAAUUCCAGCUCCAAUAGCGUAUAUUAAAGUUGUUGCAGUUAAAAAGCUCGUAGUUGAACUUCAGGCCUGGCUGGGCGGUCCGCCUUCCGGGCGAGUACUGUCUGUGGUCGGGUCCUACCUUCUGGCGAAGCGUCAUGGUCUUAACCGGCCGUGGCGGGGAACCAGGACUUUUACUGUGAAAAAUUAGAGUGUUCAAAGCAGGCAAUUUCGCUUGGAUACAUUAGCAUGGAAUAAUGGAAUAGGACAAUGGUUCUAUUUGCUGGUUUCUAGGACUGUUGUAAUGAUUAAUAGGGAUAGUUGGGGGCAUUAGUAUUCAAUUGUCAGAGGUGAAAUUCUUGGAUUUAUUGAAGACUAACUACUGCGAAAGCAUUUGCCAAGGAUGUUUUCAUUAAUCAAGAACGAAAGUUAGGGGAUCGAAGACGAUCAGAUACCGUCGUAGUCUUAACCAUAAACUAUGCCGACUAGGAAUCGGGCGAUGUUGACAAAAUGACGCGCUCGGCACC
This 536-nucleotide ribosomal RNA is filed under the name uncultured Glomeromycotina. RNAcentral's name for it is "SSU rRNA". It matches the Rfam family "Eukaryotic small subunit ribosomal RNA", at positions 548 to 1087 of the family's 1831-position model. The record is from RNAcentral. Lineage: Eukaryota; Fungi; Glomeromycota.